UAGGCGUCGCCAUUUCGUCCCACAGACAUUGUUUGGCAAGGCACGCUGUCUGGCUCCGUUCAUCUACCCCCGCAUGAUUUGUGCUGGUCUCUACGUCUAGGAGAGGAAGUUUGCUGCUAUCAAUAAAACCAGGUGGUGCCAAAUGUAAUAUCCAAUAGCAAUUCAAUAAUGAGUUUUUCAACCAAUAAAAUUUAAGUAUUGUUUUUACGAGUUUUAAAGUAACCUCAGAUGGUAAAUGCAGGCCUGCCACCAUGGGCGACCGUUGUCCACGGCCUGGCAAAAUUUAGCUUUAAAGGAGGGUUCUGCUGUGAUGCGCAUUCCGGACUAGCUGGGCCCUCCUUAAGAGUUUGGACAUCGCUACAGCUGAAGACCCGAAGCUCAAAUGUAGCUGAGGUGUUAAGAAUUGAAGCUCCAGUCGAAGACCCGAAGCUGAAGACCCAAAGUGUGAACCGAGCUGAUGUGGUAAGAAGACGAGCUGCAUUUGCGGGUUAAAGGUCUGACAUAGUGUUCUGGGAACAGGAGUCAGGUCGAAUUUACAUGGCUAGGCCAUUGUGCUGUAUCUUCCUUCCAAGUACAACCCAGCUGCUGUACCUGUAAUUAGUAUCUCGUAUCUCCAGUCCAAGUUUAAACUAACUCCCUGCUGUGGGGUUGCCACAUUCAUGCUAUGUUUUGCAUGUGCAGCAUUAGUUGUGCAUAAUGUUAUUCCUACAGCAGAGAUUCUUAUUUGUUUAGGGUAGAGUCUCCCUAAUCCAUGUAAUAAUGUCACAUUUUCUGUUCAGUAUAAAGUUGGCAUGAUAUAUGGCUUAACUCUUCUCAGGUAACAGAUAACGGCACACAAGGCUUAAUUUGAAGGGAAACCCUUGCUUUAAUUCAAAGUGCGUCAGUGCAACGUUUCAGGGCCACGCCCAUUUCUCAAGCAUCCAGCACCAGGCUGUUCUCUCUAGGGGUGUGCGUCUGCUCUACUCUCUUCCAUUAACUCAUCUCAAGACAAGUUUUAGGACAUAAAUUUGACUCGCCUGGGUCCUCCCGCAACACUGCUCAGAAAUACUUCUUAAGAAGUGACAUGACUACUGAAAGUAUUUGGGGGUUGAGGGGUGGGUGUGAGAUGGACAACACUAGUGAUGCUGCCGAAUGCACAUGCAGUCAUUUAACACUUUGCUUGUAGUUUCUACGUGUCAACUCUUCAGUAGAAUAUGACACAAUAGGACUAGUGACUCACACCAUUCUUCCAUUGGUUCUCACACCAUUCUUCCACUACUACUGUAUUGUCACUAUUUCCACACUUCUCCUAUGGCGGGUGGGGCCCAGAACAUUUUUGUCAUACAGGGGUCUGUGAUUUCUGAUGGCAGCCCUGUGUAAAUGUAAUGUCGUUUUCUUCAGUAAGUAUUUCAUGCUGCAUCAAUUACUCGCUAAGUUCUGUACCUGUAACUUCUCCGUAUUUAUUAUAUUUGUUUGUAUAUAACUAAAUACCCAACUUUCUUUGCACUAUAUUUAUUAAAAAAUUUCAUUUUCCCAUUUUGUUAUGUGAUUAUUUGCUUCAGUUAACUGCAGAAUCCACUAUUUUACACACAUUGCACACUGCUUUAUUUAAAACAAAAACAUAAUUUUUUCUUAUUUAGAUUUUCUGUCCUUUUUAGGUGACAUAAAAUUUGGUUAAACGAUGCACAAUAUUUUCAAAAUCUCUAGAAGACCUCUGUCAUUUUACCUUAUUUCUUGAUAUUUAAUUUUCAAUAAUUGAGGGGUUCUGUGACCAUAUAAAGGCACAAGGCUGCAGGC
This is a long non-coding RNA of Xenopus laevis (African clawed frog), 1776 nucleotides long. RefSeq lists it as uncharacterized. The record is from RefSeq and is a predicted model, not a curated record. The transcript is spliced from 3 exons. NCBI's taxonomy places the organism in Eukaryota, Metazoa, Chordata, Amphibia, Anura, Pipidae.